AGUUCCGGAAACAUCCCCAUUGAUUAAGUGUGUAAGAGGAUGCUUGCGAGUAUCAGGGGAGUAGCAAGGCUCCGAUGGGACUUGCGCGGGACAAAGGGCAUCCCAGACUUCUAGAGUUCUCCUUGUCUCCUGACCUGUUUAAGAAAUGGAAUUCCGACAGUAGGGGAUUACUGACUGCAGUGGCCUCUGCUUCCACCCUGGCCCCUUCCCAUCCUUUUUCCCAUGGGGCAGCCCAUCAUCUUGCUAACAUGCCAGCUUGAUCUCAUCUGUGGAUUCAUCAAACACCAACAGACAGCCAAUCAAAUACUCAACAUGUAUUCCCUUAUUUAAUUCUGGAAACUCUGUGAGGAGGUCAGCACCGUUUUCUGAUUCUAAGAGAGGGAAGUGGAAGCCCAGGGGCACAGUGCAACCACGAGGCAGCCGGGGGGCCCCCACCCCCUGAGCUGGGCAGCCUGCCGUGCACUGGGGACCCUGGUUGGUGUUCACAUCUGGCCUAUCAAGAUAUGCCCUUUCAGGAAAAUUCUGAAAAUCAGUGUUAGAUGAUAUUCAAAUAUCGCCAGCCUAUCUUCCACCAGCACACAAUGGGAGCAUGCUGUGUUCACUUCGUGGUUUGAAAUCUGCAUAGAGGAAUGGCCAGAAUGCAGGGCAGCUUCUGAAGCGAGAGAAGCAGGAUUCAUCACAAACUCAGGACAAACAAACCUUGGGGAUGUGUAGAGUUGGGGGACCCAGACUCUCCCUGGUCCCUGGCUGCGGCCCGAUUUCCUCCCUCUCCUGACUUACCCUGGAGGAUUUCCUCUGGUUGGGAUGAAAGCAUUUCUGAGCCUUUUGGUAUUUGUUCAAAUUCAGCCAGGCAUUAUUGACAUUUUCCUGGAAAUCGCACAAUAUUCUUUCAUUUGGUUUAUCACUGGGAUGUAUUUCAUAUGAGACAACUCACUGUGGUUUUUUUGUUGUUGUUGUUUUAAAUUUCUAUGUCUUCCCCCACCCUCCAAAUUCAGGUGAAUAAAUGUGAAAUGAAAAGAAGCAAGAAGGGACACCUGGGUGGCUCCGUGGGUUAGAGACUCUGCCUUAGGCUCAGGUCAUGAUCCCAGGGUCCUGGGAUGGGGCCUUGCAUUGGGCUCUCUGCUCAGCAGGGAGCCUGCUUCCUCCUCUCUCUCUGCCUGCCUCUCUGCCUACUUGUGAUCUCUGUCUGUCAAAUGAAUAAAUAAAAUCUUAAAAGAAAAGAA
Molecule: long non-coding RNA, 1223 nt
Organism: Mustela lutreola (European mink)
Lineage: Eukaryota; Metazoa; Chordata; Mammalia; Carnivora; Mustelidae
Exons: 3
Source: RefSeq, a predicted model, not a curated record